This 274-nucleotide ribosomal RNA is filed under the name uncultured bacterium. Its description in RNAcentral is "partial 16S ribosomal RNA". It matches the Rfam family "Bacterial small subunit ribosomal RNA", at positions 523 to 796 of the family's 1533-position model. The record is from RNAcentral.
AUACGAAGGUGGAGAGCGUUGCGCGGAAUCACUGGGCUUAAAGCGUACGUAGGCGGACAUGCAGGCAUCGUGUGAAAUCCCUCGGCUCAACCGAGGAACUGCAGGGUGAACCGCAUGUCUUGAGAUGGGUAGGGGCUGUCGGAACGAUAGGUGGAGCGGUGAAAUGCGUUGAUAUCUAUCGGAACGCCAAAGGCGAAGGCAGACAGCUGGGCCUAUUCUGACGCUGAGGUACGAAAGCGUGGGGAGCGAACGGGAUUAGAAACCCCAGUAGUCC